Molecule: non-coding RNA, 3191 nt
Organism: Vicugna pacos (alpaca)
Lineage: Eukaryota; Metazoa; Chordata; Mammalia; Artiodactyla; Camelidae
Source: RefSeq, a predicted model, not a curated record
CAUGUAUGACUGAAGCAUUGUGCUGUACACCAGAAAUUGACACAACAUUGUAAACUGACUAUAUUUCAUUAAAAAAGAGUAAAAAGGUGAAAAAAACAAAAAGAAACAAUGAAAAUGGCCCACCACCUCCUGACACCAGAGGCUCGGCCUUCUUUCUCCCCUUUCCAGGGAGGGGACCUUAGGCCAAAGGAUGAAGCUGUCUGUCAAACCCACUCCCGCCUUCUGAGGCUGACUUGAGGAACAAAUCACAGACUAGAUGGAAAGGCAUCUGCAAAGUUGAAAGUGCUACAGCAGUAAAAGGAGCGGCCCCAUGACAGGGGACUUACAUCUGGUACUCAGUUCCUUUGGUGCAUCAGCUGGACCCAGCAUCUCUUCAUCGACUCCUGCAGGUGCCAUCUACCUGGGUCUCACCUCCGUUUACUUCCUGCUGCCUGUCACAGGCCAUGUCCACCGUAUGCUUUAAGACUGGGGCGAACUUCCUGCGGUGGGAUAGACACCUAUUCCGUGGACUGUCCCUUUAGGAGCCCUGCUUCGUUUCGGGUGAAUGUGUGAUCUGAGCAGAUCAGGCAUAACUUCCCGCAUCCUGACAAGCUGCUACAUGUGUGUGUUUUCUCUUCCCAGAGGUAAAACUUGUGAGUGCCAGGUUCACAGGAGGAGUGCCACCACCCUUGGCGUUGCCACAGAAGAGCACUUCACGUAUCGUUGUCGGAGCAGGAGCGCAGCAGCCAAGCUUAGCCAGCUCCAUCCCGCCGCCCCUUCCCACUUGGCCCUCACCUGGUUGGGAGCUGGGGGUGGGGACUGGACUUGGUCUGCCCAGGCCUUUGUCCCUUUGGGCCUGGCAUGUGAGGCCAGGAUAGCACAGGGCACCUUCUGCUCCUGGUUGCAAUGGGAGAGCUGGAGGGUAAAUGCUGAAAAUAAUAUUCUGGGGUGAGGGCCAAGGUCAUGGCCAGAGAGUAUGUUCAAACAAUGUCAUAAAUUAAAGUAACUAUUGGAACACUGCUCCUGAGUCAACGGAGCCAAAAUGAGUGGUGUUGAGCCACAGAGCAACCAAAGACGAAGAGAGGGAGGGAGUGGGCCAGGCCCCCGGGGGAAGGUCACUGAGGCCUCUGCCCGCAGGCUGGCGGGUUCAGGGGGUUCCAGGCCCACAGACACGCAGGCAGGGGAAGGAGUGCUCACUUAUUUACGGAGUCAUUCCGUGUGCUCCCAGGACCCGGUUCAUCCUGAUCUCUGAUAUAAAGCUCUUCACAGAUGGGCAGGAGAUUCUACUCUUCCAUUAUUCUGAUCAAAAAAACAAGCCGUGAUACAGAGCCAGUUUCGAGUUUAAUCAUAUUUCCUUUAUCCAAGUAGAAAUCAAUCCCUAUUUUUGUGCAGCCCUGCGGAACAGCCAGGAUGCAGGGCUUCAGCACAAGGGGCCCAGGCAGCCGUACAGCCACAUACAGCCAGCACCGCGCGGUGCACACAAGCCCGUGACUACUCACUUGCUGCACGCCUGCAUCACGGGGACAAGCCGGAUGCUGUUUUGUGACGGUCUCCGUACUUUAUCUGACUAUCCAUAUACUUCCUCCUCUUCCUGUUGGGACAUUUUCGUCCAUGCCCAAUGCCGUAAGAUUCCAAAGGAAAUAUGAGAACGUUAUGACAGUCUGAAUCAGAGUCCAAUCGCAAGGCUAGGCUUUCUGUCACAAAUUCAAUCAUAUCAUGAAAACUAAGCAGAGGCCUUAAGGAAAAAGACUUUUCAAACCUCGAGAAUAAUCGGACCGCUUCUACGAUACGACUGAGUUAUAACUACAUACUUGUUUCGUACGAAGGCAAAACUAUGUUGGUGCCUGUUACCUACACAUUAAAUGACUUAAUUCUUAAAUAAAAACUUCUGCCAAAAACAAACACAUAUAGCCAUUGGAAGCUGGCACGCAUUAGCAAUUUUAAUCGUCUGGUGACUGAAUUAUUCUUCCUAUGUUAUCCUGCUUUGAAAUGCUGAUGUAUUGCCUUCUUUGCUAGUUGAGGGGAAAGUAUGUCUCUGCGUUUUUUCCCCUCCUUUCCUCUCACUGCCAGAGGGGAAGGAAGGAAGGAAGGAGAGGGAAGGAGCCCAAAUCCCUCACCCCCUGAACUGUGUAAUUGGAUGGAGACCCACCUCGGCGGCAGGAGAUGAAAACAGUCCAGGUGGCCCAUGAAUAAUCCAGAGUUGACUGUACUGUUCAUUCUCUGGGUUUUCUGAUGAGAAUAUAAAAAAGUUCUGGACUCUGGAGGACAAGAAAACAAGAAAAAGCCGUUUUUAUUUAAAAAAAAAUCUUCUUCAUUCACAACCUCACUGCCCAUUGAGUGAAACUGAUCACUUUUGUUAAACAUUGCAUUUUCUGGUAGGAAAGUUCAAACCUGAUUGAGAGUUAUAUUCCUUUUUCUGUGUCCAAGGAUUUAUAUGUGCAAUUUCUCUUAGUAUUAAUUCUUUCUAUCAACACUUCAGUGUGUCACUAAAAAAAAUGUUUGAAAGCACAAGAUUCUUUUCUAACCAGUGACCGGAAAAGAGGAGCGACUUGGGCAUGCGGUCUUCUUUCAGAUGGUAACAAGCACUCUCUGGACAAAAUGAACCUCAAGGGUUUGGGGGAAAUUGACUCCCCUCCCAGGCUUGUCGUUGAGGGGAGAGAAUGGCGGCAAGGUGGUGGAGAGGCAACAAAAUGCUCACGUCAGCACUGACACCGGGAGGUAGGUGGUCCCUCAGCCACUAGCCACGUGGCUGCCAUGGGCAGUGAUACCACGAUCACCACGGAUACCCCAAGUGCUCUCAGCUUCGAAGGCUGUGUUAUUUUAAAUGAAUACUCACUUCGGUGUCCAGGGCUGAGGAAGUCUUACCUGAUGGAUGAUCAAGAGUUUAUGGUCAUUCUCUUUGGCAGGUGGAGCCCUGCCAAAGCGAAGGGGAAUGAGGGAAACUUGUUGAACUGCCAAGUGCGCUGUGUUUCAUGAUUAGAGAUCCACCUUCUUGUCCUUGUUUUGCCUGCAAAUAGCUGUGACUUUGGGCACAUUGCUCCUUCUCUUGGGUUGCACUUGCCUUUACGACUGGUGAAUUCAGCGCUACUUUUUCUGACAUCAAGUUCCUACAUUCUGUAAUUACAGCAACCAAACCAGCAAGGAUGUUGUUAAGAUUGUUAUGUGAGUAAUGAAUUCUCAAAUGUGAAUUAAAGAACGAAUUCCUAUGGCAA